Long non-coding RNA from Oncorhynchus keta (chum salmon), 328 nucleotides. RefSeq lists it as uncharacterized. NCBI's taxonomy places the organism in Eukaryota, Metazoa, Chordata, Actinopteri, Salmoniformes, Salmonidae. The transcript has 3 exons. The record is from RefSeq and is a predicted model, not a curated record.
AACAGUCACAGGCAGUGUGCAAAAUAUACGUAAAGCAAUGCACACUUCUCCAAAAAUGCUUUUUCAGCUGCAUUUUACAAAUUGCAUUCAGGAGACAAAGAGGGGACAAGUUAGGGGGGAAGUGGCAGCAUAUACAGUGUUCAGGUGUCAGGAGACAAAGAGGGGACAAGUUAGGGGGGAAGUGUCAGCAUAUACAGUGUUCAGGUGUCAGGAGACAAAGAGGGGACAAGUUAGGGGGGAAGUGUCAGCAUAUACAGUGUUCAGGUGUCAGGAGACAAAGAGGGGACAAGUUAGGGGGGGGAAGUGGCAGCAUAUACAGUGUUCAGGU